RNAcentral lists this ribosomal RNA (581 nucleotides) under uncultured bacterium. RNAcentral's name for it is "bacterial SSU rRNA". It matches the Rfam family "Bacterial small subunit ribosomal RNA", at positions 100 to 713 of the family's 1533-position model. The record is from RNAcentral.
GUACGGGUGAGUAACACGUGAAUCAUCUACCUUCGAGUGUGGAAUAACUGAGAGAAAUCUUAGCUAAUACCUCAUAAUGCCUACGGGCCAAAGCAGCAAUGCGCUUGAAGAGGAGUUCGCGGCAGAUUAGUUAGUUGGCGGGGUAAUGGCCCACCAAGACGAUGAUCUGUAUCCGGCCUGAGAGGGCGCACGGACACACUGGAACUGAAACACGGUCCAGACUCCUACGGGAGGCAGCAGUGGGGAAUUUUGCGCAAUGGGGGAAACCCUGACGCAGCAACGCCGCGUGGAGGAUGAAAUCCCUUGGGAUGUAAACUCCUUUCGAUAGGGAAGAUAAUGACGGUACCUAUAGAAGAAGCCCCGGCUAACUUCGUGCCAGCAGCCGCGGUAAUACGAGGGGGGCAAGCGUUGUUCGGAAUUAUUGGGCGUAAAGGGUGCGUAGGCGGUUUGACAAGUCUGAUGUGAAAUCUAUGGGCUCAACCCAUAGUCUGCAUUAGAAACUGUCGGGCUUGAGUAUGGGAGAGGUGAGUGGAAUUUCCGGUGUAGCGGUGAAAUGCGUUGAUAUCAGGAGGAACACCCAU